UACCUGGGAUCGAAUUCACAACCGUGCACUUGCAAAUCAGGUCUUGAAUUUAUGCUUCUCAUCAAUUUUAAGUUCAUUUUUUAUGAUGUGGGAUCAGAAUCUAAUUUCACUCUUCAUUAUAUGGGUAUCUAUUUUCCAGCACCACAUACAGCCAAGAAUUUUCUUCCUCUAUUGUAUAUUUUUGGCAGCUUAGUUGCAAAUCAAUUGAUGAUAGCACUAAGAAAAAAAUAUGUGAUCAUAACAAAAUAAAAUGCUUCUGCACAGCAAAAGGAAAUGAUCAAUACAGUGAAAAGAAAACCUAUAUAAUGGUAAAAAAAACUUUGACAGCUAUUCCUAAGAGAGCACUGAUAUGUAGAAUUUAUGAAGAGUCCAGGGUGGGGGCACAUGCUUUAAUCCUAGCACUGGAGCUAGUGAGGCAGGAGGAUUGCUGCAGGGAUCAGACCUGUUUGGACUAUGUAGUCAAUUCACGGGCACCCUGGACUGAACACGGAGACUCUGUAUCAAAGAAAGAAAGAAAGAAACCCUCAAAAUCUAGUACUGCAAACAUGAACUAAUAAAAAUAAACAAACUUCAA
Long non-coding RNA from Cavia porcellus (domestic guinea pig), 574 nucleotides. RefSeq lists it as uncharacterized. The transcript has 2 exons. Lineage: Eukaryota; Metazoa; Chordata; Mammalia; Rodentia; Caviidae. The record is from RefSeq and is a predicted model, not a curated record.